This 253-nucleotide ribosomal RNA is filed under the name uncultured bacterium. RNAcentral describes it as "partial 16S ribosomal RNA". It matches the Rfam family "Bacterial small subunit ribosomal RNA", at positions 524 to 776 of the family's 1533-position model. The record is from RNAcentral.
UACGUAGGGUGCGAGCGUUAAUCGGAAUUACUGGGCGUAAAGCGUGCGCAGGCGGUUUUGCAAGCCGGAUGUGAAAUCCCCGGGCUCAACCUGGGAAUGGCAUUUGGGACUGCAAGGCUCGAGUGCGGCAGAGGAGACUGGAAUUCCUGGUGUAGCAGUGAAAUGCGCAGAUAUCAGGAGGAACACCGAUGGCGAAGGCAGAUCUCUGGGCCGUAACUGACGCUGAGGAGCGAAAGCAUGGGGAGCGAACAGG